RNAcentral lists this ribosomal RNA (500 nucleotides) under uncultured Glomeromycotina. RNAcentral describes it as "partial small subunit ribosomal RNA". It matches the Rfam family "Eukaryotic small subunit ribosomal RNA", at positions 591 to 1092 of the family's 1831-position model. Lineage: Eukaryota; Fungi; Glomeromycota. The record is from RNAcentral.
CCAAUAGCGUAUAUUAAAGUUGUUGCAGUUAAAAAGCUCGUAGUUGAACUUCGGGAUCAAUUGAUUGGUCAUGCCGUUGGUAUGUACUGGUCAUAUUGGUUCUCACCUUCUAAGGAACCAUGAUGUCAUUUAUUUGAUGUUGUGGGGAAUUAGGACUGUUACCUUGAAAAAAUUAGAGUGUUUAAAGCAGGCUAACGCUUGAAUACAUUAGCGUGGAAUAAUGAAAUAGGACAUCGCAUUCUAUUUUGUUGGUUUCUAGGAUCGAUGUAAUGAUUAAUAGGGAUAGUUGGGGGCAUUAGUAUUCAAUUGUCAGAGGUGAAAUUCUUUGAUUUAUUGAAGACUAACUACUGCGAAAGCAUUUGCCAAGGAUGUUUUCAUUAAUCAAGAACGAAAGUUAGGGGACCGGAGACGAUCAGAUACCGUCGUAGUCUUAACCAUAAACUAUGCCGACUAGGGAUCGGAUGAUGUUGAUUUUAUAAUGACUCAUUCGGCACCUUACG